This 255-nucleotide ribosomal RNA is filed under the name uncultured bacterium. Its description in RNAcentral is "partial 16S ribosomal RNA". It matches the Rfam family "Bacterial small subunit ribosomal RNA", at positions 524 to 776 of the family's 1533-position model. The record is from RNAcentral.
UACGAAGGGGGCUAGCGUUGUUCGGAGUUACUGGGCGUAAAGGGCGCGUAGGCGGCGCACCAAGUCAGGCGUGAAAGCCCCUGGGCUCAACCCGGGAAUUGCGCUUGAGACUGGUGUGCUCGAGUACGGGAGAGGAUAGUGGAAUUCCCAGUGUAGAGGUGAAAUUCGUAGAUAUUGGGAAGAACACCGGUGGCGAAGGCGGCUAUCUGGACCGUAACUGACGCUGAGGCGCGAAAAGCGUGGGGAGCAAACAGG